CUACGUCAUCGCCUACUGCUGGCCGAUCUGGUUCUCUUUUGAUGCAUUGGCGUUUGUUAACCGCGUGAGUCUAGAGCCGAAGCAACAAUUUUUCUUUCCGAACUUUAACCGUGAUGAACAACCUCUUUCUGAUCUCUUUCGUGACUCUACCGCGUCAUUUUGAGUGAUGAUGUAACACUGAGACUUGACAGACGUCAAAUGUGGGUACAAACGUGCGUACGUAAUCUAUGAUGCGUGUUCUGUGUGCUACGCACUUAGCAAAUGGUUUGGUUUGUACCUCCUGAAUACUUCCUAGAAAGUGCGGCGUUUAGGGAAUGACUGACGUCAAGAGGAAGUCUUUAGACAAGUCUGGUGGUACUGAGAGGUAAGAAGAGAAUGCUUGAUUAAUAUUUCAUCUUGAUAUAACGUCCUCAGCUGUACGUGGCUGUCAUAUAAAUGAACCAGUAACUCAGUGUUACUGUACUGUGUUUUACCUUUUGGAGUGUGUAGUUGCCAUGCCAUCAUGGUUAUUUGCUGUGUUCCUGGAUGUACCAAUGUAUCUGCAAAGGGGAAAUAUUUGAAGUUUCACAUGGAAAUUUUUGUCACAUGGAUAAACUUUAUUGCCAUUUGAAUGACGUUGACUGGUGGUUGCCAAGGGAUACUCUACAUCAAAGUCUACCACAGUCAUUUAGAAAGACUUUCCUAAAAAAGACCUGCAUCAUUGAUGCAACAGAACUAUUUACAGAACAUCAUUCAGAUAGAGGUUUGCAAUCAGCUUCUUUCUCCAGAUACAAACACCACCACACUGUGAAAGCAUUGGUUGCAAUAUCGCCAUGUGGUCAUGUUAUGCUUGUGUCGCAACCUAUUUACUGGUGCAAUAACAGACAGGGACUUACCAAGCAGUCUGGUUUCUCAAUAAAUUUGUGCCUGGAGAUCAAGUCAUGGCAAACAAAGGGUUUGUUAUUGCUGACAUUCUCAUGGACAUUGGGCAUCUCGUGUGCUACCUCCUUUUCUAGAAGGAGGAGGUCUGUUUACUGAGGAGCAAGUCAUUAAUUAAUUAAAUGCCAACAAGUGGCUUCUCUUAGAAUCGACAUAGAGGGGUGAUCAGACGGAUAACGAACCAUAGCAUUUUGCAAUGUAUAAAUAACUCUUAGUUCAAGCAUGGAUCUUUUGUAUAAGGUAUUUACUGUUUGUUCAUAUCUAACAAAUUUGCAUCCACCUCUUGUAUAGAGAA
Corticium candelabrum is the source of this 1213-nucleotide long non-coding RNA. RefSeq lists it as uncharacterized. NCBI's taxonomy places the organism in Eukaryota, Metazoa, Porifera, Homoscleromorpha, Homosclerophorida, Plakinidae. The transcript is spliced from 2 exons. The record is from RefSeq and is a predicted model, not a curated record.